UCGGUAAUCAUUUGCCCAAACAAAACAGCUGACACGUUUUCCUAUAUUUAUGGUAUGUCUACGGGAGCAUAACCAGGCCUUAAUUCCAAUUUUAUUAAAUUUUUGUAGUUAAAAUUUCAUGAAAUAUUUUCGGCGCUUUCCAUGAUAACCAUGUGGAUUACCACCGUGAUAAUCGUAAUGACCAUGAAAAUCGUAAUGUCCAUGUGGAGGUUGUGGUGGUGGCCCGUAUGCAGGAUAUAGUACAUGAUGAUCGUUGGGAACUUGUCCAUAGUAAACUCCAUGUGCAUGGGGUGGUGGCGGAACUCCAUGGUCAUAGUGUUCAUGAUGGUGAUAUUGGCACAUUGCAAUGCCAAAUAGUGUCAAAACGAGGAAUAGCUGGAAGAUGCAAUUUAAAUUGUCCCCAAAUUUAAUUCAGUCAAGGUUAAUCUACUUACAUAUAGUUGGCGCAUUUUAAAUAAUCGCUUAAGGGAUUUUCUUUGUUGAUGCGUUCGAGAAGACCACAAUUGAGCAACUGCAAGUCAUCUGCCAUCAUUUGUACCUUUCCAGCUACGAGUUUAAGGAAAACAAACAAAUUCAUUGGAAUAGCACUUUCGACAAAUUCGAGGAAAUUUGGAAAUGGGUGCCAGGGUUAAAAAUAAACAAAGGUUGUAAAAAUUUAA
This is a long non-coding RNA of Stomoxys calcitrans (stable fly), 659 nucleotides long. RefSeq lists it as uncharacterized. The record is from RefSeq and is a predicted model, not a curated record. The transcript is spliced from 2 exons. Lineage: Eukaryota; Metazoa; Arthropoda; Insecta; Diptera; Muscidae.